AAACGUAUGCCUUGCAUGUGCUCUUAGAAACGUGCGGCUGAGCUGCUGACGUCUACAAUCUACUUGUAUAGGGAAUGCUUUGGAAGCUGAAAUAUGUGGAUGAGAAGGCGUCACAUUCAUAUUUGAAGGUUGUGGGACCUUGCAGCCAAGUGAGUCAUAUGUGCUGACACUAUAAGAGCAUCUCUAAGAGUUUGGUAAAAUAAUUUCCUAUCUUAAUAUUUUAGCAAAAAGAGAAAAAAAAUUCCUCCAACAGUUUGAUAAAAUAACUCCUUAAAAAUAGAAACUUGUCAAAUAUCCUCUUCAACUCAUAAAUUUUCAAAGUCGAGAGAACUCACUAUCUCUCCUCCUUAGACCUGUUUUUACGCUAUUUCUCAUAUAGUCCUCUGGUCAGAUCGUCGCUGGUAU
Molecule: long non-coding RNA, 405 nt
Filed under: Sorghum bicolor (sorghum)
Lineage: Eukaryota; Viridiplantae; Streptophyta; Magnoliopsida; Poales; Poaceae
Description: long non-coding RNA (SBIC_LNC011965)
Source: RNAcentral